Molecule: ribosomal RNA, 802 nt
Filed under: Pleurocordyceps nipponica
Lineage: Eukaryota; Fungi; Ascomycota; Sordariomycetes; Hypocreales; Polycephalomycetaceae
Description: SSU rRNA
Rfam family: Eukaryotic small subunit ribosomal RNA
Source: RNAcentral
GCCGGCGAUGGUUCAUUCAAAUUUCUUCCCUAUCAACUUUCGAUGUUUGGGUAGUGGCCAAACAUGGUUGCAACGGGUAACGGAGGGUUAGGGCUCGACCCCGGAGAAGGAGCCUGAGAAACGGCUACUACAUCCAAGGAAGGCAGCAGGCGCGCAAAUUACCCAAUCCCGACACGGGGAGGUAGUGACAAUAAAUACUGAUACAGGGCUCUUUCGGGUCUUGUAAUUGGAAUGAGUACAAUUUAAAUCCCUUAACGAGGAACAAUUGGAGGGCAAGUCUGGUGCCAGCAGCCGCGGUAAUUCCAGCUCCAAUAGCGUAUAUUAAAGUUGUUGUGGUUAAAAAGCUCGUAGUUGAACCUUGGGCCUGGCUGGCCGGUCCGCCUCACCGCGUGUACUGGUCCGGCCGGGCCUUUCCCUCUGUGGAACCCCAUGCCCUUCACUGGGCGUGGCGGGGAAACAGGACUUUUACUUUGAAAAAAUUAGAGUGCUCCAGGCAGGCCUAUGCUCGAAUACAUUAGCAUGGAAUAAUAGAAUAGGACGUGCGGUUCUAUUUUGUUGGUUUCUAGGACCGCCGUAAUGAUUAAUAGGGACAGUCGGGGGCAUCAGUAUUCAAUUGUCAGAGGUGAAAUUCUUGGAUCUAUUGAAGACUAACUACUGCGAAAGCAUUUGCCAAGGAUGUUUUCAUUAAUCAGGAACGAAAGUUAGGGGAUCGAAGACGAUCAGAUACCGUCGUAGUCUUAACCAUAAACUAUGCCGACUAGGGAUCGGGCGAUGUUAUUUUUUGACUCGCUCGGCACCUUAC